RNAcentral lists this ribosomal RNA (497 nucleotides) under uncultured bacterium. Its description in RNAcentral is "partial 16S ribosomal RNA". It matches the Rfam family "Bacterial small subunit ribosomal RNA", at positions 28 to 507 of the family's 1533-position model. The record is from RNAcentral.
GACGAACGCUGGCGGCGUGCCUAAUACAUGCAAGUAGAACGCUGAAACUUGGUGCUUGCACCGAGCGGAUGAGUUGCGAACGGGUGAGUAACGCGUAGGUAACCUGCCUGGUAGCGGGGGAUAACUAUUGGAAACGAUAGCUAAUACCGCAUAAGAGUAGAUGUUGCAUGACAUUUGCUUAAAAGGUGCAAUUGCACCACUACCAGAUGGAUCUGCGUUGUAUUAGCUAGUUGGUGGGGUAACGGCUCACCAAGGCGACGAUACAUAGCCGACCUGAGAGGGUGAUCGGCCACACUGGGACUGAGACACGGCCCAGACUCCUACGGGAGGCAGCAGUAGGGAAUCUUCGGCAAUGGACGGAAGUCUGACCGAGCAACGCCGCGUGAGUGAAGAAGGGUUUCGGAUCGUAAAGCUCUGUUGUAAGAGAAGAACGAGUGUGAGAGUGGAAAGUUCACACUGUGACGGUAUCUUACCAGAAAGGGACGGCUAACUACGUG